CUAACAUUUCAAAAUCACGGAAUUUCGAUGCGGAGCUUUCACAUUUUUUUCCAUCCAAAAAUUGCAGUUUUUCAAUUUUAAGAGACUGCGCCAAAAAUGUUUCAGGAACAGAAUUUAAAAAGCAUUAAAUGUGAGAUUGUAUUCAACAUUCCCGAAAAAUCUAUGAAAAGUCAGGGGAUGUUGAAAUCCAAGGAGGCUUGUCACUCUGAACUUCGUAUCACCCCCUCUCUCCCUCUUUCUCUCAAAGUACAUAGCAGUCACUAUUCUUUGACCUUUUCCUAUGAAUAUCGAAAAAAAGGAGAAAGGUCGACAUCCGAGAUGCGGAAGCGAAAGAACCGAAGGACUUGACGUCCUCAAGACAGAUAAUGCCCAAUGCAACUAUUAAGAAAAGCAAUUCUCCGGCGACGUCGCCGACCAUGUCCAACUCGUCGUCACCGACGCCGACCCCGACGCCGACGACGCCGCUCUACAACCACAAAAUCGCCGGCAUCCCCUGCGUCGCCGCCGCCUCCAGAUACACAGCCCCCGUCCACAUAGACGUAGGCGGCACCAUCUACACUUCCUCACUGGAGACACUCACAAAGUAAGUUCCCACUCCAACAACUCUCCUUCAAUAAUAAGCAGGGUUCCACAGUCAGGGAAUACCGGGAACUGUCAGGGAUUUUUUAAGAAGUCA
Molecule: long non-coding RNA, 676 nt
Filed under: Bemisia tabaci
Lineage: Eukaryota; Metazoa; Arthropoda; Insecta; Hemiptera; Aleyrodidae
Description: lncRNA ENSSWEETPG008039
Source: RNAcentral